Molecule: ribosomal RNA, 720 nt
Filed under: uncultured bacterium
Lineage: Bacteria
Description: bacterial SSU rRNA
Rfam family: Bacterial small subunit ribosomal RNA
Source: RNAcentral
UCUAGCCACGCCGCGUGGGGGAUGAAGGCCUUCGGGUUGUAAACCCCUUUCAGGAGGGACGAAAUUGACGGUACCUCCAGAAGAAGCACCGGCCAACUACGUGCCAGCAGCCGCGGUAAUACGUAGGGUGCGAGCGUUAUCCGGAAUCAUUGGGCGUAAAGAGCUCGUAGGCGGUUCAACAAGUCGGCUGUGAAAUCCCGAGGCUCAACCUCGGAACUGCAGUCGAUACUGUUGUGACUAGAGUCCGGUAGAGGAGAGUGGAAUUCCCGGUGUAGCGGUGGAAUGCGCAGAUAUCGGGAGGAACACCAGUAGCGAAGGCGGCUCUCUGGGCCGGCACUGACGCUGAGGAGCGAAAGCGUGGAGAGCAAACAGGAUUAGAUACCCUGGUAGUCCACGCCGUAAACGUUGGAUACUAGGUGUGGCGUCCCGACCAACGGAUGCCGUGCCGAAGCUAACGCGAUAAGCAUCCCGCCUGGGGAGUACGGUCGCAAGACUAAAACUCAAAGGAAUUGACGGGGGCCCGCACAAGCGGUGGAGUAUGUGGUUUAAUUCGACGCAACGCGAAGAACCUUACCUGGGCUCGAACGCGGGGGGGAUGCACCGGAAACGGUGCAGCCGGCAACGGCCGCCCGCGAGGUGCUGCAUGGUUGUCGUCAGCUCGUGCCGUGAGGUGUCGGGUUAAGUCCCAUAACGAGCGCAACCCCUACCGCCAGUUGCCAG